Long non-coding RNA from Selaginella moellendorffii, 196 nucleotides. RefSeq lists it as uncharacterized. The record is from RefSeq and is a predicted model, not a curated record. Lineage: Eukaryota; Viridiplantae; Streptophyta; Lycopodiopsida; Selaginellales; Selaginellaceae. The transcript has 2 exons.
UGUGGAGCUUUGUCUUCUUUCUGUAGAUCCGGCACAGCACCCAGUCGUCCAGCUGCAACGAAAGAAGAACAGCUUGCCAAAGACUGGAUGCAACUACUUGGAGGAAUUGAAACUUACUCUGGAGCCCUUCCGGCGAGGCUUGUGGGGAUUGUCGACUAGACGGUACUCGUGCAUAAUCCAGUUGGUCUUCGCCCCC